RNAcentral lists this long non-coding RNA (711 nucleotides) under Equus asinus (donkey). RNAcentral describes it as "lncRNA (ENSEASG00005027595.1)". The record is from RNAcentral. Lineage: Eukaryota; Metazoa; Chordata; Mammalia; Perissodactyla; Equidae.
GGAGGAGAAAGACACUAAAAGAGAACUGUGAGGCUUUGAGAUCUAUUAAAGUGGAAAAGGAAGCUGAAUUAAAAAUGUUGAAGAUGAACAUAGGCGUGACUGAUGAACUCUUUGGACAAAGCAAGAUGGUCAUAGACAAGAAGCUGAGAAUGAAAGAACGUGAGAGGGUGGAAAAGGAGAAGCAGCUCUCUCAUCAGCAGAAAAGAAGGUGAAAUUGGCUGCAGAAGAAAUGCAGCGCUGCAAAUCAAGGCUCGGAUUUUGGAGAGGGAGAUAGUGGAGCAGAGCAGGGAAGCCGCUCACUUGAAACACAGAUUGGAGAUAAUGUCCCAAAAGAGGCUUCCUGAGGGAUACAGGCCGUACGAACCAAUGUUGCAAAGACCUGGGAUGCAGAACCCUGCACAGAGAGGACGAUGAUUUUGAAAGAGGAGCCUGAGCCGUGAUAAAAGGCUAUGGCAAUUGAUUAUGGUUUUCCCUGCCCAAUCCUGCCUCCUCCACUUUUAUCUUUCCUAUUGUCUCCCCUAAUACACCCUUUAUGGUUCUAACUCAGUGUCAGCGUCUGCUUUUUGGAGGACCAACCGACUCACUCCAGGGAGUGUACACAGUGUGAGUCUUGUACGCGCAGUUCAAAAACAGGCAGAAACCAUGGGAAUGAGGCAGAAGCAAGGUUAUUUUGGGAGGGGUACUGUUGACUGCGAGGGGCCUGAGAAGUCC